Molecule: long non-coding RNA, 1213 nt
Organism: Cygnus olor (mute swan)
Lineage: Eukaryota; Metazoa; Chordata; Aves; Anseriformes; Anatidae
Exons: 7
Source: RefSeq, a predicted model, not a curated record
UCCUGCUUGGACCUGUAGUUACUUCAGCACCUGUCCAGAUCCUGAGGGAAUGUAAUUCUGGCCAUCACCUCUGAGCUCACUCUUUGCACACAGAGGAGAAGGAGGAGAGAGGAUGUACUUUCGUGGGCAUUCAAAAUGGAGUGAAAUGAUGGAAAUGUUCACUCAGAGUUGUUAACAAAACUUGGUGUGAGCGAGUCAGAGAGCUAAUACAGCUGGGAGUAAAUCCUUGGUGCAGGAAGAUGACUUCUGAGGAUGUCUUCACUGCAAAGGUUUUUUUUUCUCUAAGGCAUUUUGAAACAGAUGAACUUAACUGUGGACUGCAAAAUGCUACAUGAUCUCUCAACAAGACCACCUGUAAAAAAAAGUUUUGGGAGUUGACAGUCCAGGGAGGUGAGUCCACAUGAUGGUGACUGGCUUCUGGGGACAGAAGAAAAGAACACUUCUAAAACCCACUAAUACACAGGCAGCGUGGAGGAGAAAAUGAAAGACAAGCCAGAGCAACUCCAGAUUUUCUAGAAGAAAGCAUCACAAAAACAGGUCGCAAUUUCUAACCAUCGCACUGAACUCUACCUAUACAGGAUUCUACUGAAUUUGAUGGUAGGGACCUGUGGCUGCAAGUAUAAAAUUGGAAAUAAGCCUGUACAGUAGGAACUACAGCACGUUGAGUUACAUCUAUGCUCUGUGAUCAGAGUAACUCCAGUAACUCACAGUAACUCCAUGUUGAAGACCAGCCACAUUCAAAGGACACAAGAACAAAAUUCUAAAAGCAAGUCUCACCUUAAGAGCUGCUGCAUGAUGGGACAUGGUCCUGCCUACCCGCUUGUCACUGCUGUACUGCUGUAUGUCUGCUAUCCACUCCUCACACUGAGCCAUGAUCUCCACUCUUUUCAAGUAAAAAUGUUUGUGGAUGACCUGCAAGAAAAGAUUCAGGAUGAAAGAACAUAAUGUUGUUAUCUAAGAACCAUAUACUUCAACAGUACAAAACCUGCAAGACCAAUCAUGAACCCAAAUUGACGUAAGGAGAAAAACCAAAACACUAUGGGGAUAAUUCAGCAUUGAACCAAGAGGUGGAGGUUGGCCUCUAUAUAGUUUAAAAAGCAAACAAAACACCAACAAAUCACACAAAGUUGUGAAAUUCUUAGUGUUGGCUUUGUCUUAACAGCUUUCUAGAACUCUGCCUGUUGGAAGAAACAAUAAAAUUAAAGAAAUUUUA